CCUGUAACCGUGACGGCAGCUGCCAUGCCGAGAUAAUGGCGCGAGCGGAGAAGCCGGAGUGCAGUGCGCGUGCGUAAUGGUGACUAGGUGAGCGGGCAUGGUCUUUGCCUGGUCUACGCAAAUAAUGUGACUGCUGAUUUCCAAGUAUUGUAAGUUUUACUGAAAUCAAGAACAAUAAUUGUGCUUCUAGAAAGAAAGAAGACGUGAGCUUAGAGCUGGAAAGGUAUAUGUUCUGGCCUCUGGCAACUGGUCCAUGUGCUUUCUGUCGCACCACGACCGGUGCAGUUUUCAGGCAAGUGGUUCGAGAUCGAGCGCACCUUUGCCAGGCGAAGCAAUCAGCGGCUGCACUGCGUCAGCGUCGAGUACUACUACGACGGCCAGGGCAAGUUCUCUGCAGUCAACAGCGCGGUGCUGCCCAACGGGCACACCAACCGAGUCCUGGGCGAGCUUACGAUCCUCAACCAUACAGAACCAUCCAAGAUGUCAAUGAAGUUUUACGCUAGAAAUCCGGAGCAGCGCCCUUUUUGGAUCCUUUACACGGACUAUGACAAGUGCGCCAUCGUGUACCGCUGUCGCCGCUCUCUAUGGCUGCACACUAUGUACGUUUGGAUCCUCUGCCGAAACCACACCGUGACGGAGCCUUACCUCGCAAACCUGCGUGGUUACGUCCAGCAGUGGACCGGCAUUCCACCACGCCUGUUCAGCAAGACACCUUGCAAGUAGCCACUGCUUCGGUAGAGUGUACCGCAGCCUUGGCUACCAAUGCGGCUACUAGUCCGUCGCCAACACCCACCAGCAUGAAGUUCUGGGUCCCGCAGUCGGACAUGCAGGCUCCACUACCACACAGUCAAAUAAAACGACAACAGACCAGAUGGGAAAACUUUGUAACUUUUCUUCAUUGAUAAUGAUUCACUGUACAAAUGAUAAAACCAUUACGAACACGAACAACAUAAUAUCUUGAGCAGACAACUUGGCAAGAAGACGCUAACAAAUCCCGAACAAAGGGUGCAGCGACGCGCUCUUUGAACGGCGACCACGUUUGUGGUCUAGGCGGUGCCAUUCACACGCAGCGUCCCGGGAGGGUCACGAAACGACGGCAGAGGGGUGGUUGGGUGAAAGAACGGGCAGCCGUUAUAUGUCAACAAACGUCAAUGAACAAGACAUCGCGUGCUGAACACUCGCAAAAGUAUGGGCGAGUGGCCAUAAGAACCAAGAGAAAAAGGCGAGAUAUUAAAAAAAGGGGAGUGGGGGGAAGACAUUAGAACAAACGAAACUUUUUACAAGUUGAUUGCUUUCACACACGGCACUCAAAUCCGUUUUCUGGUGUCAGAUCUGCUACACCAAGUCAGAGGGGGGAGCAGUAUGGCAGUUUGUUUCCGCAAGAAAAGUGCGGGCUCCUGUUUAUGCUGUACAGUAUUAUACAAAAACAUGCGGCUGUUGCUUGGCUGCAGCAUACACAGGCUCCUCCUGCAUCAAUGCCCACAGCAUGCUUAAGAAUGCUGCCAGGCAAGACAGCAGCACAACGAGAUGCAGUACUUUAGACAGCUGGGUCGCGAUUGUGGUCACCCCAAUACCAAGUACAGCGCAUUUUUGGUUGCUAAAACAUGCCUCAAAUUAUACUAACAACACUUUGCACAUUCACACAAGCAGAAAAGCACGAAUGGUUACCGAAAUUCAGCAAUAACCGUACGUCAAUUCUGUAUUUCCCUGCCCAUAAUCUCCAUCCUUCCAGUCUCACAUGCGUCACAGUGAUUCAAGCUUUCAAGCCUGUAUUGUUACUGUCUGAAAAGUUCAUUACAUUUUCGUACUUUUAACAAUAUUCUCCCAACACCACUGCUGCCUGACAAGCAGUUCUCAUAAAUCAAGCCUGCAGGAGAAGCCUCUUCAACUGAGCCUUAGCCACAACGUGGUGGGCACGCAUUUUCUGCGAAUGGCCACAAGUUCACUACAAAAACGCCUGAUAAUGAGACGAUAGGGAAUGCGGUGACCCAUGGUUCUGAAACAUUCCCCACACAAAAUUCUGCACCGAGAAAUGACGCUAUCAAGGAGGGAGGGCGAAAUACAGAGAGCUAGAAAGAGAAGUAUAGAAAAAAAAAAAAACUAGUGAAACUGUACAGCAAAAAACACAUGUCAUCGUUCAUCAUUCCUCCUCCUUUCUCAUGAACAGCAGGAGAGAUAGGUGCAGAAAGGAAGAGGUAUGUUCGGUCCCUGUGACAGUGUGCAUGUUGCCCUCCAUCAUUGAAAAAGAAAAGAUGCAUGCGCAAGCCCCUGUUAACAAGAACCUGCGCACGAGUGCCUCAAGCGGAAAAUCUUGGGAACGAAGCACAAGAAGAGAAUGACACAUGGAAAGCAAGGACCUCAUCCCGAACGGAACACCUGGGACUCCUUUGACCAAGCAUCCAAGUCCUCCAACAAAUGCAUUUAUACUCGUGCUGGCUGAAUGUGACAACAUUGCCUCUUUCUUCAAGCUCUGAAUGCUGCUCCCCAUCACUUGUCGUCAAGCAACUCACUCAAAUGCAAAACUUUCUAGAUGGAACUAAACUAAUGCUAUGGUGCAGUGACCAACACACUGCCUGCCUCCUUCAAACACCUGUCCUUGCUUUUGUACAAACCACAUCAGUGCUCCCAAAUUGCCACGGCAAAGAAGCCUUGACAGCAAUAACAAGCUUCUCUCAAAGCUUUUCUCAAAGCUCACUCCCGAAAUGUGCAUUUAACAAGUGCUUCUUCGAUCAUUUUUGUUGGCUCAACCGUAAGCUGACAAGAUUUUAAGGGCAUCAAUUUCAUGGUCGUAACUGUUAAGCGUUGCUUGGAAUGCUAGGUGACAAUAAAGAAUUCGUUUAGUAUCUACAGCGACAAACAAAUAAAGAAAUUUACACAGCCUAAAUUAAGCUGAGCGUCCCCACCAAGAGUUCAUUGCACAUGCCCACAGCGCACAAGUGUAAAUGCUUGCACGUAAGCCUAACCGUUUUCAGUGCAGAAACUAGACAACAGAACAUGCCUCAGUAUUGUGCUAAAAGAAAUAGCUGUUAAAAGAAAGUUUCUACA
Dermacentor andersoni is the source of this 3045-nucleotide non-coding RNA. The record is from RefSeq and is a predicted model, not a curated record. Lineage: Eukaryota; Metazoa; Arthropoda; Arachnida; Ixodida; Ixodidae.